This 454-nucleotide ribosomal RNA is filed under the name uncultured bacterium. RNAcentral's name for it is "bacterial SSU rRNA". It matches the Rfam family "Bacterial small subunit ribosomal RNA", at positions 57 to 518 of the family's 1533-position model. The record is from RNAcentral.
GCAAGUCGAGCGGAGACAGACGGAAGCUGCUUCUGUCUGUUCAGCGGCGGACGGGUGAGUAACGCGUGAGCAACCUGCCUUUAACAGGGGAAUAACGCAUCGAAAGAUGUGCUAAUACCGCAUAAGACCACAGCAUCACAUGGUGCAGGGGUCAAAGGAGCAAUCCGGUUAAAGAUGGGCUCGCGUCCGAUUAGCUGGUUGGUGAGACAACAGCCCACCAAGGCGACGAUCGGUAGCCGACCUGAGAGGGUGAUGGCCACAUUGGAACUGAGAUACGGUCCAGACUCCUACGGGAGGCAGCAGUGGGGAAUAUUGGGCAAUGGGCGAAAAAGCCUGACCCAGCAACGCCGCGUGAGGGAAGAAGGGUUUCGGCUCGUAAACCUCUGUCCUAUGGGACGAAGGAAGUGACGGUACCAUAGGAGGAAGCCCCGGCUAACUACGUGCCAGCCGCCGC